This 288-nucleotide signal recognition particle RNA is filed under the name Cebus imitator (Panamanian white-faced capuchin). RNAcentral's name for it is "Metazoan signal recognition particle RNA (ENSCCAG00000000054.1)". It matches the Rfam family "Metazoan signal recognition particle RNA". Rfam says of the family: The signal recognition particle (SRP) is a universally conserved ribonucleoprotein. It is involved in the co-translational targeting of proteins to membranes. The eukaryotic SRP consists of a 300-nucleotide 7S RNA and six proteins: SRPs 72, 68, 54, 19, 14, and 9. The record is from RNAcentral. Lineage: Eukaryota; Metazoa; Chordata; Mammalia; Primates; Cebidae.
ACAAGGCAUGGUGGAGUGAGCCUGUAGUCCCACCUACGCAGAAGCUGAGGCAGGGGGAUGGCUUGAGUCCAGGAGUUCUGGACUGUAGUGCACUAUGCUGGCCUGAACACAAUUCGGCAUUGAUAAUGGUGACCUCCUGGAGCAGGGACCACCAGGUUGCCUAAGAAGGUUGGCUGAACUGGCCCUAGUUGAAAUGGAGCAGGUCAAAAACUCCUGGGCUGAUCAGUAGUGAGAUUCCCCCUGUGAAUAGUCACUACCUUCCAUCUUCCAUAGAGAGACACUGUCUCU